AAGAUUUUAAGUUAAUUAAACUAGUAACCUUCAAAGUUACUUAUACUUUUUUAGUAAAUCUUA
RNAcentral lists this transfer RNA (63 nucleotides) under Empoasca vitis (smaller green leafhopper). RNAcentral describes it as "tRNA-Trp". RNAcentral also lists the same sequence under 1 other name. The record is from RNAcentral. Lineage: Eukaryota; Metazoa; Arthropoda; Insecta; Hemiptera; Cicadellidae.